This 492-nucleotide ribosomal RNA is filed under the name uncultured bacterium. Its description in RNAcentral is "partial 16S ribosomal RNA". It matches the Rfam family "Bacterial small subunit ribosomal RNA", at positions 29 to 507 of the family's 1533-position model. The record is from RNAcentral.
AGUGAACGCUGGCGGUAGGCCUAACACAUGCAAGUCGAAUGGCAGCACAGUAAGAGCUUGCUCUUACGGGUGGCGGGUGGCGGACGGGUGAGGAAUACAUCGGAAUCUACUUUUUCGUGGGGGAUAACGUAGGGAAACUUACGCUAAUACCGCAUACGACCUACGGGUGAAAGCAGGGGAUCUUCGGACCUUGCGCGAUUGAAUGAGCCGAUGUCGGAUUAGCUAGUUGGCGGGGUAAAGGCCCACCAAGGCGACGAUCCGUAGCUGGUCUGAGAGGAUGAUCAGCCACACUGGAACUGAGACACGGUCCAGACUCCUACGGGAGGCAGCAGUGGGGAAUAUUGGACAAAGGGCGCAAGCCUGAUCCAGCCAUACCGCGUGGGUGAAGAAGGCCUUCGGGUUGUAAAGCCCUUUUGUUGGGAAAGAAAAGCAGCAGGUUAAUACCCCGCUGUUCUGACGGUACCCAAAGAAUAAGCACCGGCUAACUUCGUG